GACAUGGUGGCACAGUGGUUAAGUGUGCUUGACUUGAGAUAGAAAGGUCCUCAGUUCAAGUCCUAGCCAUGGCU
Gymnothorax javanicus (giant moray) is the source of this 74-nucleotide non-coding RNA. The record is from the annotation of a GenBank genome assembly. Lineage: Eukaryota; Metazoa; Chordata; Actinopteri; Anguilliformes; Muraenidae.